UACGUAGGGUGCAAGCGUUGUCCGGAAUUAUUGGGCGUAAAGAGCUCGUAGGCGGUCUGUUGCGUCGGCUGUGAAAACCCGGGGCUCAACCCCGGGCCUGCAGCCGAUACUGGCAGACUAGAGUUCGGCAGGGGAGACUGGAAUUCCUGGUGUAGCGGUGAAAUGCGCAGAUAUCAGGAGGAACACCGGUGGCGAAGGCGGGUCUCUGGGCCGACACUGACGCUGAGGAGCGAAAGCUUGGGGAGCGAACAGG
Molecule: ribosomal RNA, 253 nt
Filed under: uncultured bacterium
Lineage: Bacteria
Description: partial 16S ribosomal RNA
Rfam family: Bacterial small subunit ribosomal RNA
Source: RNAcentral